RNAcentral lists this ribosomal RNA (403 nucleotides) under uncultured bacterium. RNAcentral's name for it is "partial 16S ribosomal RNA". It matches the Rfam family "Bacterial small subunit ribosomal RNA", at positions 28 to 526 of the family's 1533-position model. The record is from RNAcentral.
GACGAACGCUGGCGGCGUGCCUAAUACAUGCAAGUCGAACGCAGUGGGGACGGGUGAGUAACAAGUGGGUAACCUCCCAUCAGAGGGGAUAAAACGUGGAAACAGGUGAUAACCCGCAAAUGAUGGAUGGACCCGCGGUGCUGUAGCGAGUUGGUGAGGUAACGGCUCACCAAGGCGACGAUGCAUAGCCGACCUGAGAGGCUGAUCGGCCAAACUGGGACUGAGACACGGUCCAGACUCCUACGUGAGGCAGCAGUAGGGAAUAUUCGGCAAUGGACGAAAGUCUGACCGAGCAACGCCGCGUGAGUGAAGAAGGUUUUCGGAUUGUAAAACUCUGUCGUUAGAGAAGCGGUAUCUAACCAGAAAGCCACGGCUAACUCCGUGCCAGCAGCCGCGGUAAUUC